This is a long non-coding RNA of Spinacia oleracea (spinach), 643 nucleotides long. RefSeq lists it as uncharacterized. The transcript has 2 exons. The record is from RefSeq and is a predicted model, not a curated record. NCBI's taxonomy places the organism in Eukaryota, Viridiplantae, Streptophyta, Magnoliopsida, Caryophyllales, Amaranthaceae.
UUUAAUGACAACUUUCAUCCGCAACCCUUGGAUUUUGAUUGACGGCCAAGAUUUAUGAUAAUUAAAACCUAUUAAAACUGAAAAAAAGUUAUAAAAAUAUAAAACCACAACUUAUAGUAUCUUUCUCUCUCCUCUCGAUUCAUUACCCUCCUCCUUCCCUUGAAUCCCUUCCAAUCUCCCUGCAAAUUGUAAAUAUUCAAACACCAUGGAGUGUGACCUCAACAACGGAAACAUUAGUUACGUCUGAAAGUGUAGAUGAUUAUUAAGCCAAUUUAAGUUUUUUUUGUUCUUUUCGCGAGACUCCUCAUAUCCAUGAAUCGAUGAUAACAAGGAAUUGGUGAUGAUGAAUUGCUUCUCCUUCCCUCCUUGUUUAGUUAACUAAACCAGCCUUGUGAUUCAUGAAAUAAGUACUGCAAAAAUGUUGAUUGGAAAGGAUGAAUGAUUAUUUACAUAAGGUAAUUUAAUGUUUGAAGUCAAACUAUUAAUUGUCCUAUUUGGGAUAGGUAAUGAUAAUUAGCAUACUUAGUGUAUGCGUUGUUGAUUUGGUGUUGUACCUAUUGAAAGAAAACUUUUGUUUAUACGGGUUGCUUUAGCAAACUCUUAUCAUGUUUGGUUUCAAUGAUCAAUUUGUCUGAUUUUGGGA